RNAcentral lists this long non-coding RNA (1019 nucleotides) under Olea europaea (common olive). Its description in RNAcentral is "long non-coding RNA (OEUR_LNC004303)". Lineage: Eukaryota; Viridiplantae; Streptophyta; Magnoliopsida; Lamiales; Oleaceae. The record is from RNAcentral.
UGAAGAAGACAAACGUGAAGCGAUUGGAAUGGACUUGAGGAUUCAAGUUUUGGAAUCCACAUCUAACGAUAAGAAAUUAUUUUCAAGGAACUAAGGUAUCUUAUAUAAUUUGGCAAUAAAUAUUUUCGAGUUUUAAAAGUAUUGUAAAGUUUCAACCUGAUCCAUGGCGAAAUGCGCAUCCCACCUUUUUUGCUUGGUACACACUCUCUAUCUCUUUGGCCUCUUCAACAUACAUUCCGUUUGUUUGCCUACUGUAUUUCUUUAGAUAAUUUUCGUUUCUUUGGUGAAUCCCUAAGGUACCCAGAGAAGGUCGGCCGGGGGAAACGUAAAUAUAGUUUUUUCAUUUUCUCAAAUUUUCUGUCCAAAAUGUUGGCUCGAGGAUUGAAAUUAGCUGACGAGUUCUGUUUCUAAUGCAUUUUUACAAACUGAAUUGAACUUCUAGCUGGAAAUUUGGGUGAUUAAUGUAUGUGGUUUAAUGGACCAAAAUUCGCAUGUUACACUGUACAACUGGCGUCUAUUAGUUGUUGAAACCCAUUAGGAGUUUGCUCAAACAAAUUGCCUGAUUUUUUCAUUUUUCAUUUUUAUUAUUUGUAGGGGAAGGGGAAGGGGAAGGGGAGACAAGGAGGAAAGAAUAGAGUAAUGGAAGUGUUCUUUAAUGUUUCAGAAAAUAAUCUUUAAGACUAAGUAAUGUACAAUUCAUUUGGUGAGAUGUCACUUUAAAACAAUGUCGCACUUCUUCUGUUUGAGGGAAAAUGCUAAGGACUCUGAAACUUUCUAUUGCUUGGAUAAAUUCAUUUGUUUUAAAGAUUAUCAUAAUUUUCCUAUGUAAUUUCUGUAUUUAUCACUGUUGAGUAUGCCAUUAACUAUUACUUGGUGCCAAUUUUCUGCCGUGUAUAUGUAUUUCUGCCGACCUUUUAGAAAUUAGUGAUUUAGCUGGUACUUUAAUUCAUAGAUUGUGAUAGAGGUUUCACUGUAAUUUUCCAUUUUUUACAAUUUGUUCCAUAUUGUAUAGUUUCCAC